This 337-nucleotide long non-coding RNA is filed under the name Setaria viridis. Its description in RNAcentral is "long non-coding RNA (SVIR_LNC009001)". The record is from RNAcentral. Lineage: Eukaryota; Viridiplantae; Streptophyta; Magnoliopsida; Poales; Poaceae.
AAAACUGUACACAUCUCCUCAGAGCUUUACAUUCUGCUAUAAAACUCCCAUCGAUGCCUUAUAUGUUCAUGUCAAAAACUUCACAGCCAGCAACUCGGUUUACCUGGACUAGCUUUCCUCCGUAAACUGAAUUAUAGCUUCCUUUCCUAAUUAAAGAUUCCGUGAAAUUCUCAGUGACCUGAACUCAAUCCUUGUAGAAAACUUUACAGAAGUUCUUACUAGAAGAAACCAACGGUGAUUGCAUUAUGAAGGACUCUCUCUAUUGAAGUAUAAGGCAUCAUGAUAAUGUGAAUAGUGCCACGAAACCAACAAUGGGGAUACAUAAUUUAACCCAAAC